Long non-coding RNA from Panicum virgatum (switchgrass), 1327 nucleotides. RefSeq lists it as uncharacterized. NCBI's taxonomy places the organism in Eukaryota, Viridiplantae, Streptophyta, Magnoliopsida, Poales, Poaceae. The record is from RefSeq and is a predicted model, not a curated record. The transcript has 2 exons.
GAUAUAUGUAUUGUCUAGUAUGUUAGAGUCAUGCAUGCUAGGUUUAAUUCUCGUCAUGAUAAAUCUAGUUCGGAAUUUAAACUUACAGUUGUCUAUUUUUGCAACAAUCCAAAAACCUUAUUAGAGGCAAUAUGUUGAUUUAACAAUGACUGGUUUCACUGAGUCACUGAGGCCAGAAAAGUUUACUGGCGUGAACUUUAAGAUCUGGAAGUCCAAGGUUCGCCUCUGGUUUACUGCUAUGCACAUCUGGGACAUGAGACUUGGCAAGCCUGAGGGCAUACUUACUACUGAAGAGUAAAAGAAGUACAAUGAGGCCAAUAAUCUCUUUGUCAGAUGUAUCAUUAGCAAUCUAUCAGACGGAUUAGUCCGUGUGUACAUUGAUGAGACAAAGGCGAAGACACUGUGGGAUGCUCUGGUUGCAAAGUAUGAUGCAACAGAUGCGGGCAAUGAACUGUACCUCAUGGAGAGUUUCCUUGACUACAGGAUGGUGAAUAACCGUUCUAUGGUGGAACAGGCGCAUGAGGUGCAGUGCAUUGUCAAAGAUCUUGAUCUCCUUAAGUGUCCUAUUCCCGACAAGUUUGUGGCUGGAUGCAUUAUUGCAAAGUUGCCUUCCCAGUGGAGGAACUUCGCCACAACUCUGAAACACAAGAGAAAGGAGAUAUCAGUUGAAAAUCUGAUAGCGACUCUUGAUGUUGAGGAGAAGGCUCGGAAGAAGGACGUGCCUGAGUAAGGAGAUCAAGGCCAGUCCAGCGUCAACCUGGUCCAAAAGUUCCCACAUGUCAAGGACAAAGGGAAUAACAAGCCUAACAAGACCACUACCUUCAAGAAGAAGAAGAACAAGGCUUUGGAAAAGUGCUAUGCAUGUGGUAAGCUUGGACACUUCUCCAAGGAGUGCCCAGAUCGGGCAGACCGCAGGGCCAAGAAAGCAAAUGAGUCCAAGGAUGUCAACAUGGUGACCAUAAGCAACACUGGAGAUGGACCGUCCAGGACUUCUCCGUGCUGAUGGGGAACGGUUCACAUGCUUCUGUUCAUGGUGUUGGCACGGUAGAUCUGAAGUUUACUUCGGGAAAGAUCGUGCAGUUGAGGAACGUGCAGCAUGUGCCCACUAUCAACAAGAAUCUGGUCAGCGGGUCAGUCCUAUGCAAGGAUGGGUUUAAGGUAGUGUUAGAGUCCAAUAAAUUUGUCAUGUCGAAAUAUGGACAAUUCGUUGGUAAAGGCUAUGAUUGUGGAGGCUUGUUCCGCUUUUCUCUUGCUGAAUUUUGUAAUAAGUUGGUGAACCAUAUUUGUGGCAACGUUAGCGAUGAUGUGAGUGUUUGGCAUUCAUGUU